Molecule: ribosomal RNA, 660 nt
Filed under: Henriciella algicola
Lineage: Bacteria; Pseudomonadati; Pseudomonadota; Alphaproteobacteria; Hyphomonadales; Hyphomonadaceae
Description: bacterial SSU rRNA
Rfam family: Bacterial small subunit ribosomal RNA
Source: RNAcentral
GUGAGUAACGCGUGGGAACGUACCCUUCACUACGGAAUAGCUUCUGGAAACGGAAGGUAAUACCGUAUACGCCCUCCGGGGGAAAGAUUUAUCGGUGAAGGAUCGGCCCGCGUUAGAUUAGUUUGUUGGUGGGGUAAUGGCCUACCAAGACUACGAUCUAUAGCUGGUCUGAGAGGAUGAUCAGCCACACUGGGACUGAGACACGGCCCAGACUCCUACGGGAGGCAGCAGUGGGGAAUCUUGCACAAUGGGCGAAAGCCUGAUGCAGCCAUGCCGCGUGAAUGAUGAAGGCCUUAGGGUUGUAAAAUUCUUUCGCCAGGGAUGAUAAUGACAGUACCUGGUAAAGAAGCCCCGGCUAACUUCGUGCCAGCAGCCGCGGUAAUACGAAGGGGGCUAGCGUUGUUCGGAAUUACUGGGCGUAAAGCGCGCGUAGGCGGGCUAUUAAGCCAGAUGUGAAAGCCCGGGGCUCAACCUCGGAAUUGCAUUUGGAACUGGUAGCCUAGAGACCAGGAGAGGUUAGCGGAAUACCGAGUGUAGAGGUGAAAUUCGUAGAUAUUCGGUGGAACACCAGUGGCGAAGGCGGCUAACUGGACUGGUACUGACGCUGAGGCGCGAAAGUGUGGGGAGCAAACAGGAUUAGAUACCCUGGUAGUCCACACC